RNAcentral lists this long non-coding RNA (2338 nucleotides) under Mytilus galloprovincialis (Mediterranean mussel). Lineage: Eukaryota; Metazoa; Mollusca; Bivalvia; Mytilida; Mytilidae. The record is from RNAcentral.
GUUGGAUAACAAACAGAAAAUUCACAAACUUUCAUAAAUUUAUUAAGUAAAGUAAGCAAGACCAAUACUGGGUCUGGACCUGUUUCAGCAGUCUUCUUUAAAACCCUUUUUGUGAACUACCAAUUCACAAAUUAACAUAAUCAUUAACCAGAAAAUGUACAAACAUUUUAAAACAUUAUACUUUAAGAAUUUACAAAAAAUGCCUUAAUAAAUAUCUUAUUGUAAUCUAAUUAAAAUUUAUGAUCCUAUUUUUGCCUGAUGUUUUCUAUCUUUAUAGUAAUAUUAAAGUAAAGAGAUGUGGUGUGAUUGCCAUAAAACAGCUAUCACCAUAGUUCAGAUGAAGUAGUAGAUGUAUUAAAGCAAUUAUAGGCAAUUAUGCAACCGUUCAGUACAAGCUUCAACAAUGAGAAAAAAGUGCCAGCCAUCAUGAUUUCGGACAGUUGGGUCAACAAAAAAUUCCUGGAGGAUUAGAAAAGUAUAAACUCUCUUCAAGUCUAAUUACAAUUGUGUCCCUAGAUGAAUUUUAAUGAUGUUUUUCGUAAAACCUUUUAUUUUUAACAAUGUUGACCACCAAACAUGUAACUUUGACAUCUGUCAACCACUAUUCUUAAAAUUAUGCUUAAUAUACAAUUCUCUUCAAGUGAGACUAACAAUUUUGUCUAUGAAAUGAAAAUCUUUUACAAUAAGUGAUGGUGAUUUAUCUAACUCUUGAUUCAUAGAAGUAUAAAUGCAGUAAAUGUCAACAUGUUCCUGAACCCAACUCUUGAUAAAAUUGAAUAAAAACAGUAAAUUUGCUAUAUGAACUGGUGUUUUAAUUGGAUUUGCUGCUGCUAACACAGGUAACAUAACAGUAAUUAAAAAUAUAAUUUACCCAAACAAUCUCUUUUAGGACAUAAUAAAAUAAACUUCCAAUAAAAUACAUAAUAUACAACAGGCAUGACAGGAGUGUGCAAAAAGCUAAAAAUACAUCAACAAGAUUAGACACAUAAAAAAAUCUUGCCUGUUUUAGUGGUCAUAAUUGAAUUAUGUUGCAAGUAAAAAAGAGAAGUUAAUACUACAAGCAUUUCAAUGAUCAUAAUUAUGAGGUCAAGGUUAGAAAAAACCUUUGACAACAUAGGCUGUACAAAACUAUUCUCUAAUACACCUAAAUGUAGUAAUCCAAUUGAAGUAUCUCAGAAACAAACUAAAUGCAUUCAGUAAACAUAGUAAACAGGAACGAUAAAAUUGAAAAUGUAUCACACAUGAAAAGCUCCGGUCAUAAAACUUUGAUACCAAGUUUCAGAAAGCCCUGAUAUUUAGUUCCUAAGAAAAAUAUAUCAAGACAUCACACAGUAAAGCUCACUCAUAUAAACAUCAAUACAAAUUUCAGAAAGGUUUGUCGAAGUUUGUGAGAAAAUGAGACAAAAUAUACAUCGGUCACUGCACACAUUUUUUUAAAACUAGAUACCCUAAUAAUCAUAAUGAUUGUGGCUAAGUUUGAUUAAAUUUGGUCUAGUAGUUUCAGAGAAGAUUUUUGUAAAAGUUAAAAGACAACAGAUGCCAAAAGAUGAAAUAAGCUCACUUGGCCCUUCAGCCAAGGUGACCUAAAAAGAAAGCCCUUUAACAUGUUAAAAAACAUUUCCCACCUCCCUUUUUUGGAGCAAUUACCCCACACUCAAUCCCAGCCUUGCCUUUGUAGUACAGAAUCGUGUAGUCAAUUUUAGAGAGAUGCAUCAUACACUUAAACAAAUGUUAUUGACUGGAAACUGAGAAAAAUGCUUAUUUUUGGCCUCUUUGUUUGACCCCCAAUUCCCGCAUGUUUGGGAUAAUACCCCCCCCCCCCCCCCCAAAUUAAAUCCUAGUCUUUCUUAUGGUACAAUGUCGUAGAGAUCUAUACACUUACAAACAAGUUAUUGUGCGGACAUUACUAAAAUGCUUGUUUUUGGCCCCUAAUUUCUAAACUGUUGGUACAUGUAUCAUAACCCCCAAAUGCAACUCAACCUAUCUAAUGGUAAAUAAAUGUCCAGAAACAUAAUGUGCCUUCGGAUGAAAAUAAUACAGACAACAUCAUAACAUUAUUCUUCAAACCCCAAAAAUCUGUUGCAGUCUUACUUCAGACUCACAUCAUUUACACCAUGUACACUGAAUGAUCACAAAUACAAAAUGUUGACAAUAAUAUGUUCAACUUAAUCCAUAAUAAGUAUUGGCAAAUGCCAAGUCGUACAAGUGGAAUAAGAUUUCAUUUGUUGGUAAAUCAGACUCACAUCAUUUACACUGAAUGAUCACAAAUACAAAAUGUUGACAAUAAUAUGUUCAACUUAAUCCAUAAGAAAUAUUGGCAAAUGCCAAGUCGUACAAG